GCUAUGGCUACUGAACAAUGUGUGCGCCCUGUUGAAAAAACCCUACACGAAGGGAAACAUGAACACCAUCCGAGCAGUGGCCAAACUCAGGUUCAUAAGGAGAGUAAGGGUGUGAGUCAAUCACAUGGGCACAACCAACUGAGCCAUGACACACCCAAAACACAUGCCGAGUCCAAGACCGUGAGCCAUGGUGUCCAUGCUCAGCAACAUGUGGCUCAAAGCACGGCCAUGCCUACAACUUGCCAUGGAAAGAAGGAAAAGAAGAUGAAAGACAAGAAGGAGAAAGACAAGGACAGGAAGGAAAAGAAAGAAAAGAAGGAAAAGAAGACCGAGAGCA
This 337-nucleotide long non-coding RNA is filed under the name Gossypium barbadense (sea-island cotton). RNAcentral describes it as "long non-coding RNA (GBAR_LNC009838)". Lineage: Eukaryota; Viridiplantae; Streptophyta; Magnoliopsida; Malvales; Malvaceae. The record is from RNAcentral.